UGAAACCCAGCGAAACUGGCGGAAA
This 25-nucleotide small nuclear RNA is filed under the name Arabidopsis thaliana (thale cress). RNAcentral's name for it is "snRNA_07950". Lineage: Eukaryota; Viridiplantae; Streptophyta; Magnoliopsida; Brassicales; Brassicaceae. The record is from RNAcentral.